GACGAACCGUGCAAACGUUGUUCGGAAUCACUGGGCUUAAAGGGCGCGUAGGCGGUUCGCCAAGUCUGGGGUGAAAUCUUUCGGCUUAACCGGAAAAUUGCCUGGGAUACUGGCGGGCUGGAGGGAGGUAGGGGUAGCGGGAACUUCCGGUGGAGCGGUGAAAUGCGUUGAUAUCGGAAGGAACGCCGGUGGCGAAAGCGCGUUACUGGACCUCUUCUGACGCUGAGGCGCGAAAGCUAGGGGAGCAAACGGG
Molecule: ribosomal RNA, 253 nt
Filed under: uncultured bacterium
Lineage: Bacteria
Description: partial 16S ribosomal RNA
Rfam family: Bacterial small subunit ribosomal RNA
Source: RNAcentral